Molecule: ribosomal RNA, 361 nt
Filed under: uncultured bacterium
Lineage: Bacteria
Description: bacterial SSU rRNA
Rfam family: Bacterial small subunit ribosomal RNA
Source: RNAcentral
ACCCUCGGGUGGGGAAUAACGUCCGGAAACGGACGCUAAUGAAAAAAAACGCAGCAACGUCUAUGACGAUGCUGUUAAAGGAGCAAUUCGCCUGGGGAGGAGCUUGCGGCAGAUUAGCUUGUUGGUAGGGUAACGGCCUACCAAGGCGACGAUCUGUAGCCGGUCUAAGAGGACGGUCGGUCACACUGACACUGAAUAACGGGUCGGACUCCUACGGGAGGCAGCAGUCGGGAAUUUUGGGCAAUGGGGGAAACCCUGACCCAGCAACGCCGCGUGAAGGAUGAAGUUUUUCGGAAUGUAAACUUCGUAAGAAUGGGAAGAACAAAUGACGGUACCAUUUGUAAGCCCCGGCUAACUACGU